Molecule: ribosomal RNA, 1025 nt
Filed under: fungal endophyte
Lineage: Eukaryota; Fungi
Description: eukaryotic LSU rRNA
Rfam family: Eukaryotic large subunit ribosomal RNA (bases 497-1025)
Source: RNAcentral
UUACCGAGUGAGGGCCCUCUGGGUCCAACCUCCCACCCGUGUUUAUUUACCUUGUUGCUUCGGCGAGCCUGCCUUUUGGCUGCCGGGGGACGUCAGUCCCCGGGUCCGUGCUCGCCGGAGACACCUUAGAACUCUGUCUGAAGAUUGUAGUCUGAGAUUAAAUAUAAAUUAUUUAAAACUUUCAACAACGGAUCUCUUGGUUCCGGCAUCGAUGAAGAACGCAGCGAAAUGCGAUACGUAAUGUGAAUUGCAGAAUUCAGUGAAUCAUCGAGUCUUUGAACGCACAUUGCGCCCUCUGGUAUUCCGGAGGGCAUGCCUGUCCGAGCGUCAUUGCUGCCCUCAAGCACGGCUUGUGUGUUGGGCCCCGUCCUCCUUCCGGGGGACGGGUCCGAAAGGCAGCGGCGGCACCGCGUCCGGUCCUCAAGCGUAUGGGGCUUUGUCACUCGCUUUGUAGGCCUGGCCGGCGCUUGCCGAUCAACCAAACUUUUUAUCAGGUUGACCUCGGAUCAGGUAGGGAUACCCGCUGAACUUAAGCAUAUCAAUAAGCGGAGGAAAAGAAACCAACAGGGAUUACCUCAGUAACGGCGAGUGAAGCGGUAAGAGCUCAAAUUUGAAAGCUGGCUCCUUCGGGGUCCGCAUUGUAAUUUGCAGAGGAUGCUUCGGGAGCGGUCCCCAUCUAAGUGCCCUGGAACGGGACGUCAUAGAGGGUGAGAAUCCCGUAUGGGAUGGGGUGUCCGCGCCCGUGUGAAGCUCCUUCGACGAGUCGAGUUGUUUGGGAAUGCAGCUCUAAAUGGGUGGUAAAUUUCAUCUAAAGCUAAAUAUUGGCCGGAGACCGAUAGCGCACAAGUAGAGUGAUCGAAAGAUGAAAAGCACUUUGAAAAGAGAGUUAAAAAGCACGUGAAAUUGUUGAAAGGGAAGCGCUUGCGACCAGACUCGCUCGCGGGGUUCAGCCGGCAUUCGUGCCGGUGUACUUCCCCGCGAGCGGGCCAACGUCGGUUUGGGCGGUCAGUCAAAGGCCCCUGGAA